CCCGUUCUCUCUUUCUCUCACAACGUUCUCAAACCUUCCUACAAGGAAACUAACAUGCUUCUCUUUCUCUCUCUACGACACAAUAACGCGCCCCUCUCUCUCCCGCCAGCAAUGGCGAAUGUAGAUUAGCAAGUGUUACUGAUAUGAUCGUCACUAUUUCCUUUCAAAUCAUUGUUGGGUCUGUUUCGUUUUGGCUGGAAAAAUUUCACUGUUAGUUUUUUCCAUCUACUUCGUAUCUCUUGCUUGAAAAUACCUUAUUUCGAGUCCUUUUGCAGGCUUCAUUACGCUGCUCGCCCUGUUAAAACAGCACUCGACAAGUUUCAGUUGCUCCCAGAGUUCUUAACAUCAGGGGGCUUGUGCAGCAACACAUUGAUUCGUUCAAUUAUUUUGUGAACAAUGAAAUUAAGAAGAUUGUUCAUGCGCCAUCCAAUGAAAGAAUCACCUACUCUCAAGUAUCUUGAUGUAUCCGUCGGAACGCCAUGAUAUCAGACCAACACUGUUGCAGAAAAAGUCACCCCUCACGAAUGCCGCCUAAGGGACAUGACGUAUGCUCGCUGGCUCAUAAUUCUCCUUUCAAUAUAUCAGCUUUUACUUCAAUGCUAUAUUUUUUUGUUUCUUUUGGUUGGUUAACUUGGAAAAAGGAGGAGUUGGUGGAUUUUAUUAUGACAUGAGAAUAAGCAUCGGCUUGACAUUUUCAUGUAACUCUCGUGAUAUUACAUGACGUGAUUAUAAUUAAGGCUAUCAUGCUUGAAUUUGUAAUUUAUGGAAC
This is a long non-coding RNA of Amborella trichopoda, 769 nucleotides long. RefSeq lists it as uncharacterized. The record is from RefSeq and is a predicted model, not a curated record. Lineage: Eukaryota; Viridiplantae; Streptophyta; Magnoliopsida; Amborellales; Amborellaceae.